UGUUUCUUCUUCUUCUUCUUCGG
This 23-nucleotide small RNA is filed under the name Arabidopsis thaliana (thale cress). RNAcentral's name for it is "ATSL231610". Lineage: Eukaryota; Viridiplantae; Streptophyta; Magnoliopsida; Brassicales; Brassicaceae. The record is from RNAcentral.